AGUGAACGCUGGCGGUAGGCCUAACACAUGCAAGUCGAACGGCAGCACAGUAAGAGCUUGCUCUUACGGGUGGCGAGUGGCGGACGGGUGAGGAAUACAUCGGAAUCUACUUUUUCGUGGGGGAUAACGUAGGGAAACUUACGCUAAUACCGCAUACGACCUACGGGUGAAAGCAGGGGAUCUUCGGACCUUGCGCGAUUGAAUGAGCCGAUGUCGGAUUAGCUAGUGGGCGGGGUAAAGGCCCACCAAGGCGACGAUCCGUAGCUGGUCUGAGAGGAUGAUCAGCCACACUGGAACUGAGACACGGUCCAGACGCCUACGGGAGGCAGCAGUGGGGAAUAUUGGACAAUGGGCGCAAGCCUGAUCCAGCCAUACCGCGUGGGUGAAGAAGGCCUUCGGGUUGUAAAGCCCUUUUGUUGGGAAAGAAAAGCAGCAGGUUAAUACCCCGCUGUUCUGACGGUACCCAAAGAAUAAGCACCGGCUAACUUCGUG
Molecule: ribosomal RNA, 492 nt
Filed under: uncultured bacterium
Lineage: Bacteria
Description: partial 16S ribosomal RNA
Rfam family: Bacterial small subunit ribosomal RNA
Source: RNAcentral